GUCUGCCUUGAAGAUCGGAGUGCUUGCACUCUGUGAAACAAGAUACAGGCUAGCGGCGGACGGGUGAGUAACACGUGGGUAACCUGCCCAAGAGAUCGGGAUAACACCUGGAAACAGAUGCUAAUACCGGAUAACAACAGAUGAUGCCUAUCAACUGUUUAAAAGAUGGUUCUGCUAUCACUCUUGGAUGGACCUGCGGUGCAUUAGCUAGUUGGUAGGGUAACGGCCUACCAAGGCGAUGAUGCAUAGCCGAGUUGAGAGACUGAUCGGCCACAUUGGGACUGAGACACGGCCCAAACUCCUACGGGAGGCAGCAGUAGGGAAUCUUCCACAAUGGACGCAAGUCUGAUGGAGCAACGCCGCGUGAGUGAAGAAGGGUUUCGGCUCGUAAAGCUCUGUUGUUGGUGAAGAAGGACGGGGGUAGUAACUGACCUUUGUUUGACGGUAAUCAAUUAGAAAGUCACGGCUAACUACGUGCCAGCAGCCGCGGUAAUACGUAGGUGGCAAGCGUUGUCCGGAUUUAUUGGGCGUAAAGCGAGUGCAGGCGGUUCGAUAAGUCUGAUGUGAAAGCCUUCGGCUCAACCGGAGAAUUGCAUCAGAAACUGUCGAGCUUGAGUACAGAAGAGGAGAGUGGAACUCCAUGUGUAGCGGUGAAAUGCGUAGAUAUAUGGAAGAACACCGGUGGCGAAGGCGGCUCUCUGGUCUGUUACUGACGCUGAAGCUCGAAAGCAUGGGUAGCG
Molecule: ribosomal RNA, 740 nt
Filed under: uncultured bacterium
Lineage: Bacteria
Description: bacterial SSU rRNA
Rfam family: Bacterial small subunit ribosomal RNA
Source: RNAcentral